GACGAACGCUGGCGGCGUGCUUAACACAUGCAAGUCGAGCGGUAAGGCCCUUUCGGGGGUACACGAGCGGCGAACGGGUGAGUAACACGUGGGUGACCUGCCCUCAGCUCUGGGAUAAGCCUGGGAAACUGGGUCUAAUACCGGAUAUGACUCCAUGACGCAUGUUGUGGGGUGGAAAGCCUUGUGCGGCUGAGGAUGGGCCCGCGGCCUAUCAGCUUGUUGGUGGGGUGAUGGCCUACCAAGGCGACGACGGGUAGCCGGCCUGAGAGGGCGACCGGCCACACUGGGACUGAGACACGGCCCAGACUCCUACGGGAGGCAGCAGUGGGGAAUCUUGCGCAAUGGGCGAAAGCCUGACGCAGCGACGCCGCGUGAGGGAUGACGGCCUGGUGUAACU
RNAcentral lists this ribosomal RNA (397 nucleotides) under uncultured bacterium. RNAcentral describes it as "bacterial SSU rRNA". It matches the Rfam family "Bacterial small subunit ribosomal RNA", at positions 28 to 430 of the family's 1533-position model. The record is from RNAcentral.